This 1479-nucleotide ribosomal RNA is filed under the name Triticum aestivum (bread wheat). RNAcentral describes it as "partial small subunit ribosomal RNA". Lineage: Eukaryota; Viridiplantae; Streptophyta; Magnoliopsida; Poales; Poaceae. The record is from RNAcentral.
AUGUCUUCACCGACGAGGCUUUCCUGGGUCGUGCUGAGGAAGCACGUCCCGGUCUUCGACGCCGAGGAGAAGGAGCAGGAAGACAAGAUCAUGGCCGAGGCGAGCAACGAUUGGGGGAACAUCGAGGAUGGGUCCUGGAUACUGGACCAGUUCUCGCUCGACGCGCACCUCGUGGAGCCGCCGGAGCUCUCCACCUUGUCCGUGCGCGCCAAGAUCGAGACGCAGGAGCGCGGCAUCGGGUGCGUCCUCGACUCCGUCGUGGAGAACUACCUCGUCAUGACUCUGGUGUUCUGCGACAGGUGGUACGGGCUCGUCUACGACGCAGCCAAGAACUCGCUUUCACUGCUCCCCGCCACCAUGGAUUCCUUCGCGGGCUACGACUUCGCGUCGAGAGUUGAUUCUGUGCCCUUCUUCUUCCUGAGGCAACAUGCCGUCCUGCCACGCGACGACGGCUCCUACGAUCUGCUCAAUCUGGGGUUCCGGUCCGAGAGACGCGACAGAGUGUUGCAGGGGUCGGGCAUCAUCUUCCGGUGGUCGAGCCAUGCCGCUGGCAAGAAGUGGACGAAGCAGGAGGCGCGCUUCAGCCCGCAUACCCAGGUGCCGCGCCAGCCGGCGUACAAAGUAGACGCGGCCUUCACUUUCAAAGGGAAGGUUUUCUGGGCCGAUCUCAUGCUUGGCGACAUUGUUUGUGACAUGCCAUCCACCCGUACCACUACCAGCGAAGACGUCGAUCACGUGGAGCUGGACUUCAUCCAUCUUCCCCAGGAGUGCCAAGGCCGUGACUUCUCCCGCAGUUACCCCAAGGAUCGUCGGACCAUGGGCCCUGUCGGGGACUCCAUAAAGCUCAUCUCCAUCGUCACCAUCAGUGGCGACAACCCCCGUGACAACACGCCCCCUGCCGACGUCGUGCUGCGGAGCUGGACCCUGUUGCCAGACCUCCGCUCAUGGACGAGAGACCAAGACAUGGAGCUGCCCUUGCCCCUGCUCUGGCAGUCGGAGGUCUACAAGCGCGAGAGGCUGCCGCAGGCCAUGCCGCAGUGCCCAGUCCUCAAGGCCGACGAGGAUGGCAUCCUCUACCUCUUGCUGGGAGAUUACUACCUGGAUUGGGAGAGAAGGGCACGGCUAUGCAGGGAGAUUGAGUGUGUGAUCAGCAUCGACAUGCGCACAAAGUCUCUCCUGUCCUGCAGCCAUCGUCCUAUCAAAGAUGGCUUGCCAGCGCCAGCGCCGUGGGAAGAAGUCAGGCCUUCCAAAGAUUUCGAUCCUGACAUACCUACCCUGCUUGCUGCCAAGUUCUGCGCGAACCACACUGGAUGGUCUGAUGGUCCUCUGCACAAGGAAAAGAAGAAUCGUCUGAUAUACUGUAGAUGGGAAAGAAGGAAGAGCAGCUCAAGUCGCCGUGCUUUCAUCAGUGUGGCUCUUGCUUCGAUUGUUGUGAUUAUUUACCUUCAGCUCCGGGGAUCUUUAUCGAUCUUGACUUAA